This 454-nucleotide ribosomal RNA is filed under the name uncultured bacterium. RNAcentral's name for it is "partial 16S ribosomal RNA". It matches the Rfam family "Bacterial small subunit ribosomal RNA", at positions 28 to 507 of the family's 1533-position model. The record is from RNAcentral.
GAUGAACGCUGACAGAAUGCUUAACACAUGCAAGUCUACUUGAACUUCGGUUUGGGUGGCGGACGGGUGAGUAACGCGUAAAGAACUUGCCUCACAGUUAGGGACAACAUUUGGAGACGAAUGCUAAUACCUGAUAUUAUGAUUUUAGGGCAUCCUAGGAUUAUGAAAGCUAUAUGUGCUGUGAGAGAGCUUUGCGUCCCAUUAGCUAGUUGGAGAGGUAACGGCUCACCAAGGCGAUGAUGGGUAGCCGGCCUGAGAGGGUGAACGGCCACAAGGGGACUGAGACACGGCCCUUACUCCUACGGGAGGCAGCAGUGGGGAAUAUUGGACAAUGGACCAAAAGUCUGAUCCAGCAAUUCUGUGUGCACGAUGACGUUUUUCGGAAUGUAAAGUGCUUUCAGUUGGGAAGAAAAAAAUGACGGUACCAACAGAAGAAGUGACGGCUAAAUACGUG